GAUGAACGCUGGCGGCGUGCCUAAUACAUGCAAGUCGAGCGAAUGGAUUAAGAGCUUGCUCUUAUGAAGUUAGCGGCGGACGGGUGAGUAACACGUGAGUAACCUGCCCAUAAGACUGGGAUAACUCCGGUAAACCGGGGCUAAUACCGGAUAACAUUUUUAACCGCAUGGUUCGAAAUUGAAAGGCGGCUUCGGCUGUCACCUAUGGAUGGACCCGGGUCGCAUUAGCUAGUUGGUGAGGUAACGGCUAACCAAGGCAACGAUGCGUAGCCGACCUGAGAGGGUGAUCGGCCACGCUGGGACUGAGACACGGCCCAGACUCCUACGGGAGGCAGCAGUAGGGAAUCUUCCGCAAUGGACGAAAGUCUGACGGAGCAACGCCGCGUGAGUGAUGAAGGCUUUCGGGUCGUAAAACUCUGUUGUUAGGGAAGAACAAGUGCUAGUUGAAUAAGCUGGCACCUUGACGGUACUUAACCAGAAAGCCACGGCUAACUACGCGCCAGCCGCCGCGGUAA
This 515-nucleotide ribosomal RNA is filed under the name uncultured bacterium. RNAcentral describes it as "partial 16S ribosomal RNA". It matches the Rfam family "Bacterial small subunit ribosomal RNA", at positions 28 to 523 of the family's 1533-position model. The record is from RNAcentral.